This is a long non-coding RNA of Ricinus communis (castor bean), 657 nucleotides long. RefSeq lists it as uncharacterized. The transcript is spliced from 4 exons. NCBI's taxonomy places the organism in Eukaryota, Viridiplantae, Streptophyta, Magnoliopsida, Malpighiales, Euphorbiaceae. The record is from RefSeq and is a predicted model, not a curated record.
UCUGAAGUGGUGUUUUAAAAAGGUAAGGAUAAAAACUGUCUUCGGCUAAACUUAAGGGAUGUGAUUGUAAUUGUUACAAAUAAUUUUGGUACAAAAACUAGCGGCCACCAUCGAUCACGAGAUGCGCACGUGCAACUUCCACCAUUUAUUUACCGAUAAUUGCCUGUCCUGAAUUAGGGUUAGGCGUUUUUUUCCAUCUUUCUCUCUCGAUUCUUCAAAUUCAAGCACUAACCCUAACCCUAACUACCAGCCAUGUCUUCCAAGCAAGGUGGAAAAGCCAAGCCAUUGAAGCAACCAAAGGCUGGCAAGAAGGAAUACGACGAGACUGAUUUGGCCAACAUUCAGAAAAAGAAGGACGAGGAAAAGGCACUCAAGGAGCUCAAAGCCAAGGCAGCACAGAAAGGAGCUCUUGGAGGUUCCGGUCUCAAGAAGAGCGGAAAAAAAUGAGGGUUCUGAAAACCCAAAUCAGAAUAGAAUAUAUGAUUCAUGCUAUGUGAUUAUAGAUAAUACUAUGUUGACAUGUUUUCUCAAGUGUGAUGGGCUGUGACAUCUUUGCUUAGUGUGACAAGUCUAUGUUCGUGCUAAAUGCUACUGAACUUCGACUUAAUGUCAUUUUGUGACACUCAAUAAACCUUUUGUACUCUCCCCUUGUGCCAA